This 72-nucleotide transfer RNA is filed under the name Ornithorhynchus anatinus (platypus). It matches the Rfam family "tRNA". Rfam says of the family: Transfer RNA (tRNA) molecules are approximately 80 nucleotides in length. Their secondary structure includes four short double-helical elements and three loops (D, anti-codon, and T loops). The record is from Rfam by way of RNAcentral. Lineage: Eukaryota; Metazoa; Chordata; Mammalia; Monotremata; Ornithorhynchidae.
AGCAGUGUGGCUUAGUGGAAAGAGCAUGGGCUUGGGAGUCAGAGGUCCUAGGUCCUAAUCCCAGCUCUGCCA